This 330-nucleotide ribosomal RNA is filed under the name Acanthobdella peledina. RNAcentral describes it as "eukaryotic LSU rRNA". It matches the Rfam family "Eukaryotic large subunit ribosomal RNA", at positions 42 to 365 of the family's 3401-position model. The record is from RNAcentral. Lineage: Eukaryota; Metazoa; Annelida; Clitellata; Acanthobdellida.
AUUAAUAAGCGGAGGAAAAGAAACUAACCAGGAUUCCCCUAGUAACGGCGAGUGAAGCGGGAAAAGCCCAGCACCGAAUCCCUCGUCUUUCGGACGACGGGACCUGUGGUGUUUAGGAUUGCUCAUCGCGCGGCUGGCAGGUGUUCGAGUCCUCCUGAUAGGGGCUUUACCCAGAGCGGGUGUUAGGCCUCUAGGACGUCGGCCGACCGAGCACGAGCUUUCCUCGGAGUCGGGUUGUUUGAGAAUGCAGCCCAAAGCGGGUGGUAAACUCCAUCUAAGGCUAAAUACUGGCACGAGUCCGAUAGCAAACAAGUACCGUGAGGGAAAGUU